AGAUACGAUCCAAUGAUAGCUGGACAAGUCAGUAAGCCCUUGCUGUCAGUGCGGAGUGAAAUGAAUGCGGAGUUGAGAGGUGAGGACAAGGCUGCUACUUCAGACAGCGAGCUGAAUGAGUCCCUGCUUGCGCCUGUGGAAUCAAAUGACAGCGAGGACAUUCCCAGCAAGCUCUUCGGGGCCAGAGGAAACCCGGCACUAUCAGACCCAGGCACUCCUGACCAACACCAGGCCAGUCAGACCCACCCCCCAUUUCCAGUUGGGCCACAGCCACUUCUGACGGCACAGCAGUUAGCUUCUGCUGUGGCCGGCGUGAUGCCAGGAGGCCCCCCAGCUCUCAACCAGCCAAUCCUCAUUCCCUUCAACAUGGCGGGACAGCUAGGAGGCCAGCAAGGACUGGUUCUCACACUGCCAACAGCGAAUCUCACCAACAUCCAAGGGCUGGUGGCAGCAGCUGCAGCUGGAGGCAUUAUGACUCUGCCAUUGCAAAAUCUACAAGCUACCUCAUCCCUGAACUCCCAGCUCCAGCAGCUCCAGCUCCAGCUCCAGCAGCAGCAGCAGCAGCAGCAGCAGCAGCCUCCCCCGUCAACCAACCAGCACCCGCAGCCAGCCCCGCAGGCGCCCUUGCAGUCCCAGCAGCAGCUGCUGCAGCCCACCCCACCCCAGCAGCCACCACCCGCCUCUCAGCAGCCGCCAGCUCCUACAUCUCAGCUGCAACAGGCACCUCAGCCCCAGCAGCACCAACCCCACUCCCACUCCCAGAACCAGAACCAACCAUCUCCAACCCAGCAGAGCUCCAGCCCCCCGCAGAAACCCAGUCAGUCUCCGGGACAUGGCCUGCCUUCACCGCUCACGCCACCCAAUCCUCUACAGAUCCUGCACCCAAGGAGGAGUAUGGACUAAGGGAGAAAGGUGGAUGGAAGAAUUUGGUACUUCCUUUCAGAAAUGAUUCAGAACCAAGCACACAGAAAAUGGAGAACUGCCUACCUAGUCUAGCUAAUUGUAUGCAUUUACUGGUGAAGCAAUAAUUUUACAAAGAGGCUGGGAACUGGUCUCCUUAUUGAAUAAAGAAUAAGCUCCCAGAUUUACAUUCAUUGAUUUUCUA
This 1105-nucleotide small RNA is filed under the name Pongo abelii (Sumatran orangutan). Its description in RNAcentral is "processed transcript". Lineage: Eukaryota; Metazoa; Chordata; Mammalia; Primates; Hominidae. The record is from RNAcentral.